GAGUUUGAUCCUGGCUCAGAAUGAACGUUGGCGGCGUGGAUUAGGCAUGCAAGUCGUGCGGAAAGGCCCCGCAAGGGGUGCUCGAGCGGCGAAAGGGAUAGUAACGCGUGGAUUACCUACCCUCGGGACGGGGAUAGCUGGGGGAAACCCCAAUUAAUACCCGAUAACGUCUUUGGACCAAAGGUGAAAUUCCGCCUGAGGACGGGUCCGCGGCCUAUUAGCUAGUUGGCAGGGUAAUGGCCUACCAAGGCGAUGAUGGGUAGCGGGUGUGAGAGCACGACCCGCGUCAUUGGGACUGAGACACUGCCCAGACACCUACGGGUGGCUGCAGUCGAGAAUCUUCGGCAAUGGGCGCAAGCCUGACCGAGCGACGCCGCGUGCGGGAUGAAGGCCUUCGGGUUGUAAACCGCUGUCAGAGGGGAUGAAAUGCGUGGGGGUUCUCCCCCACGUUUGACAUAGCCUCAGAGGAAGGACGGGCUAAGUUCGUGCCAGCAGCCGCGGUAAGACGAACCGUCCGAACGUUAUUCGGAAUCACUGGGCUUAAAGGGUGCGUAGGCGGCGCGGAAAGUUGGGUGUGAAAUACCUCGGCUUAACCGAGGAACUGCGCCCAAAACUACCGUGCUCGAGGGAGAUAGAGGUGAGCGGAACUUANGGUGGAGCGGUGAAAUGCGUUG
Molecule: ribosomal RNA, 674 nt
Filed under: uncultured bacterium
Lineage: Bacteria
Description: bacterial SSU rRNA
Rfam family: Bacterial small subunit ribosomal RNA
Source: RNAcentral